GCCGGUGUGGCGGAAUUGGUAGACGCAGCGGAUUCAAAAUCCGCCGCUGGAAACAGCGUGUCGGUUCGAGUCCGACCACCGGCACCA
Molecule: transfer RNA, 87 nt
Filed under: Halomonas litopenaei
Lineage: Bacteria; Pseudomonadati; Pseudomonadota; Gammaproteobacteria; Oceanospirillales; Halomonadaceae
Also listed under: 1 other name
Description: Halomonas sp. SYSU ZJ2214 tRNA-Leu
Rfam family: tRNA
About the family: Transfer RNA (tRNA) molecules are approximately 80 nucleotides in length. Their secondary structure includes four short double-helical elements and three loops (D, anti-codon, and T loops).
Source: RNAcentral